RNAcentral lists this ribosomal RNA (253 nucleotides) under uncultured bacterium. RNAcentral's name for it is "partial 16S ribosomal RNA". It matches the Rfam family "Bacterial small subunit ribosomal RNA", at positions 524 to 776 of the family's 1533-position model. The record is from RNAcentral.
UACGAAGGGGGCUAGCGUUGCUCGGAAUCACUGGGCGUAAAGGGUGCGUAGGCGGGUUUUUAAGUCAGAGGGGAAAUCCUGGAGCUCAACUCCAGAACUGCCUUUGAUACUGAGAAUCUUGAGUUCGGGAGAGGUGAGUGGAACUGCGAGUGUAGAGGUGAAAUUCGUAGAUAUUCACAAGAACACCAGUGGCGAAGGCGGCUCACUGGCCCGAUACUGACGCUGAGGCACGAAAGCGUGGGGAGCAAACAGG